UACGUAGGGGGCUAGCGUUGUCCGGAUUUAUUGGGCGUAAAGAGCGUGUAGGCGGCCAGGUAGGUCUGGUGUGAAAACUCGAGGCUUAACCUUGAGAUGUCAUCGGAAACCAUUUGGCUAGAGUCCGGAAGAGGAAAGUGGAAUUCCUGGUGUAGCGGUGAAAUGCGCAGAUAUCAGGAAGAACACCGGUGGCGAAGGCGGCAUCCUGGACCAACACUGACGCUGAUGAGCGAAAGCCAGGGGAGCAAACGGG
Molecule: ribosomal RNA, 253 nt
Filed under: uncultured bacterium
Lineage: Bacteria
Description: partial 16S ribosomal RNA
Rfam family: Bacterial small subunit ribosomal RNA
Source: RNAcentral